UACAGAGGGUGCAAGCGUUGUUCGGAAUUACUGGGCGUAAAGGGCGCGUAGGCGGCCUCUUAAGUCGAACGUGAAAUCCCCGGGCUCAACCCGGGAACUGCGUCCGAUACUGGGAGGCUUGAAUCCGGGAGAGGGAUGUGGAAUUCCAGGUGUAGCGGUGAAAUGCGUAGAUAUCUGGAGGAACACCGGUGGCGAAGGCGACAUCCUGGACCGGUAUUGACGCUGAGGCGCGAAAGCCAGGGGAGCAAACGGG
Molecule: ribosomal RNA, 253 nt
Filed under: uncultured bacterium
Lineage: Bacteria
Description: partial 16S ribosomal RNA
Rfam family: Bacterial small subunit ribosomal RNA
Source: RNAcentral